UGAGGAAUAUUGGUCAAUGGGCGGAAGCCUGAACCAGCCAUGCCGCGUGCAGGAAGGAAGCCCUACGGGUUGUAAACUGCUUUUACCCGGGAAGAAACCGCCCCCUGUGGGGGGCGUUGCCGGUACCGGGGGAAAAAGGAUCGGCUAACUCCGUGCCAGCAGCCGCGGUAAUACGGAGGAUCCGGGCGUUAUCCGGAAUUACUGGGUUUAAAGGGUGCGUAGGCGGGGCUUUAAGCCGGCGGUGAAAUGCAGCGGCUCAACCGCUGGAAUGACGUUGGGACUGGGGCUGUGGGAUACGGUCGGGGAGGGGGGAGCUCGUGGUGUAGCGGUGGAGUGCGUAGGUAUGACGAGGAACGCGGGUAGCGAAGGCAGGGCGGGGGGCCGGUAUUGACGCUGAGGCACGAAAGCGUGGGGA
This 415-nucleotide ribosomal RNA is filed under the name uncultured bacterium. RNAcentral's name for it is "partial 16S ribosomal RNA". It matches the Rfam family "Bacterial small subunit ribosomal RNA", at positions 355 to 767 of the family's 1533-position model. The record is from RNAcentral.